AGGUAAUAAUCCUGUAGUCGAAAAUGUUGUCUCUCUUGAGUGGAUCCUGAGUACGACGGAGCACGUGAAAUUCCGUCGGAAUCUGGGAGGACCAUCUCCUAAGGCUAAAUACUCUCUAGUGACCGAUAGUGAACCAGUACCGUGAGGGAAAGGUGAAAAGCACCCCGGAAGGGGAGUGAAAUAGAACCUGAAACCGUGUGCUUACAAGUAGUCAGAGCCCGUUAAUGGGUGAUGGCGUGCCUUUUGUAGAAUGAACCGGCGAGUUACGAUUUGAUGCAAGGUUAAGCAGUAAAUGUGGAGCCGUAGCGAAAGCGAGUCUGAAUAGGGCGUUUAGUAUUUGGUCGUAGACCCGAAACCAGGUGAUCUACCCUUGGUCAGGUUGAAGUUCAGGUAACACUGAAUGGAGGACCGAACCGACUUACGUUGAAAAGUGAGCGGAUGAACUGAGGGUAGCGGAGAAAUUCCAAUCGAACCUGGAGAUAGCUGGUUCUCUCCGAAAUAGCUUUAGGGCUAGCCUCAAGUGAUGAUUAUUGGAGGUAGAGCACUGUUUGGACGAGGGGCCCCUCUCGGGUUACCGAAUUCAGACAAACUCCGAAUGCCAAUUAAUUUAACUUGGGAGUCAGAACAUGGGUGAUAAGGUCCGUGUUCGAAAGGGAAACAGCCCAGACCACCAGCUAAGGUCCCAAAAUAUAUGUUAAGUGGAAAAGGAUGUGGCGUUGCCCAGACAACUAGGAUGUUGGCUUAGAAGCAGCCAUCAUUUAAAGAGUGCGUAAUAGCUCACUAGUCGAGUGACACUGCGCCGAAAAUGUACCGGGGCUAAACAUAUUACCGAAGCUGUGGAUUGUCCUUUGGACAAUGGUAGGAGAGCGUUCUAAGGGCGUUGAAGCAUGAUCGUAAGGACAUGUGGAGCGCUUAGAAGUGAGAAUGCCGGUGUGAGUAGCGAAAGACGGGUGAGAAUCCCGUCCACCGAUUGACUAAGGUUUCCAGAGGAAGGCUCGUCCGCUCUGGGUUAGUCGGGUCCUAAGCUGAGGCCGACAGGCGUAGGCGAUGGAUAACAGGUUGAUAUUCCUGUACCACCUAUAAUCGUUUUA
RNAcentral lists this ribosomal RNA (1091 nucleotides) under Staphylococcus aureus. RNAcentral's name for it is "partial 23S ribosomal RNA". It matches the Rfam family "Bacterial large subunit ribosomal RNA", at positions 361 to 1461 of the family's 2925-position model. The record is from RNAcentral. Lineage: Bacteria; Bacillati; Bacillota; Bacilli; Caryophanales; Staphylococcaceae.